This 434-nucleotide ribosomal RNA is filed under the name uncultured bacterium. RNAcentral describes it as "bacterial SSU rRNA". It matches the Rfam family "Bacterial small subunit ribosomal RNA", at positions 954 to 1384 of the family's 1533-position model. The record is from RNAcentral.
GCAAAACGCGAAGAACCUUACCAGGGCUUAAAUGUAGAUUGACGUAUUUGGAAACAGAUAUUUCUUCGGACAAUUUACAAGGUGCUGCAUGGUUGUCGUCAGCUCGUGCCGUGAGGUGUCAGGUUAAGUCCUAUAACGAGCGCAACCCCUGUUGUUAGUUGCCAGCGAGUAAUGUCGGGAACUCUAGCAAGACUGCCAGCGUAAACUGCGAGGAAGGUGGGGAUGACGUCAAAUCAUCACGGCCCUUACGUCCUGGGCCACACACGUGCUACAAUGGCCGGUACAGAGAGCAGCCACUUAGCGAUAAGGAGCGAAUCUAUAAAGCCGGUCACAGUUCGGAUCGGAGUCUGCAACUCGACUCGUGAAGCUGGAAUCGCUAGUAAUCGGAUAUCAGCCAUGACUUCCGGGUGAAAUUACCGGUUCCCGGGUCUUGU